CCUACGGGAGGCAGCAGUGAGGAAUAUUGGUCAAUGGACGAGAGUCUGAACCAGCCAAGUAGCGUGAAGGAUGACUGCCCUAUGGGUUGUAAACUUCUUUUAUAUGGGAAUAAAAUGUUCCACGUGUGGGAUUUUGUAUGUACCAUAUGAAUAAGGAUCGGCUAACUCCGUGCCAGCAGCCGCGGUAAUACGGAGGAUCCGAGCGUUAUCCGGAUUUAUUGGGUUUAAAGGGAGCGUAGGUGGAUUGUUAAGUCAGUUGUGAAAGUUUGCGGCUCAACCGGAAAAUUGCAGUUGAAACUUGCAGUCUUGAGUACAGUAGAGGUGGGCGGAAUUCGUGGUGUAGCGGUGAAAUGCUUAGAUAUCACGAAGAACUCCGAUUGCGAAGGCAGUUCACUGGACUGCAACUGACACUGAGGCUCGAAAGUGUGGGUAUCAAACAGGAUUAGAUACCCCUGUAGUC
Molecule: ribosomal RNA, 460 nt
Filed under: uncultured bacterium
Lineage: Bacteria
Description: partial 16S ribosomal RNA
Rfam family: Bacterial small subunit ribosomal RNA
Source: RNAcentral